GGCGAGGUAGCUCAGCUGGUUAGAGCACACGACUCAUAAAUCGUGGGGUCGGGGGUUCGAGUCCCCCCCUCGCCACCA
RNAcentral lists this transfer RNA (78 nucleotides) under Pseudorhodobacter sp. RNAcentral's name for it is "tRNA-OTHER". It matches the Rfam family "tRNA". From Rfam's summary of the family: Transfer RNA (tRNA) molecules are approximately 80 nucleotides in length. Their secondary structure includes four short double-helical elements and three loops (D, anti-codon, and T loops). Lineage: Bacteria; Pseudomonadati; Pseudomonadota; Alphaproteobacteria; Rhodobacterales; Paracoccaceae. The record is from RNAcentral.